UGACCAAGUCACGUGCCAGCAGUCGCGGUAAUACGUGGAAGAUUAGUGUUAUUCAUCUUUAAUUGGUUUAAAGGGUACCUAGACGGUUAAUUAAGCAUUAAUAUGUACUAAUUAACUAGAGUUUAAUAUAAGAAGGAUUGAGUACGGUGAGUGUAGAGAUAAAAUUCUGUCAUACCACUUAGAAACUGGUAAUGGCGAAGGCAACCUUCGAUGUAAAAACUGACGUUAAGGGACGAAGGCUCGUUUCAAAUAACAGGAUUAGAUACCCUAGUAUUGUGGGCAGACAAUGAUGAGUGUCAUAUACAAGGAAAUAAAAAAAAAUAAUUUUUUUGUGUAUAAAUGAAAGUGUAAGCACUCCACCUCAAGAGUAACGUGGCAACAUGGGAACUGAAAUCAUUAGACCGUUUCUGAAACUCGUAGUGAAGUAUGUUGUUUAAUUUGAUAGUCCUCAAAUAACCUUACCACAAUUUGUAUUACCAUAAUUUUAUUAUACUAAUAUGUUGUAUGGUAGUUAUGGCAACAAGCGUUGCACGGCUGUCUUCAGUCAAUGUUGUGAAACUGUGGUUAGAUCCAUUAAAUUGACGUAAACCCUUACUUUAUUUAAAAUAAAGUAGUUCGCCGCUAUAUUGGUAGUGAUAUAAGGGACUAGGACAAGUCAUC
Molecule: ribosomal RNA, 660 nt
Filed under: Heiomasia seaveyorum
Lineage: Eukaryota; Fungi; Ascomycota; Lecanoromycetes; Ostropales; Graphidaceae
Description: SSU rRNA
Rfam family: Bacterial small subunit ribosomal RNA
Source: RNAcentral